CGUAGGUGGCGAGCGUUGUCCGGAUUUACUGGGUGUAAAGGGCGUGUAGGCGGGUUUUCAAGUCAGAUGUGAAAUACCGGGGCUUAACUCCGGGGCUGCAUUUGAAACUGAGAGUCUUGAGUGCCGGAGAGGAAAGCGGAAUUCCUAGUGUAGCGGUGAAAUGCGUAGAUAUUAGGAGGAACACCAGUGGCGAAGGCGGCUUUCUGGACGGUAACUGACGCUGAGGCGCGAAAGCAUGGGGAGCAAACAGGAUU
RNAcentral lists this ribosomal RNA (254 nucleotides) under uncultured bacterium. RNAcentral's name for it is "partial 16S ribosomal RNA". It matches the Rfam family "Bacterial small subunit ribosomal RNA", at positions 526 to 779 of the family's 1533-position model. The record is from RNAcentral.